AUACGGAGGAUCCGAGCGUUAUCCGGAUUUAUUGGGUUUAAAGGGAGCGUAGGUGGAUUGUUAAGUCAGUUGUGAAAGUUUGCGGCUCAACCGUAAAAUUGCAGUUGAAACUGGCAGUCUUGAGUACAGUAGAGGUGGGCGGAAUGUGGUGUAGCGGUGAAAUGCUUAGAUAUCACGAAGAACUCCGAUUGCGAAGGCAGCUCACUAGACUGUUACUGACACUGAUGCUCGAAAGUGUGGGUAUCAAACAGGAUUAGAUACCCUGGUAGUCCACACAGUAAACGAUGAAUACUCGCUGUUUGCGAUAUACAGUAAGCGGCCAAGCGAAAGCAUUAAGUAUUCCACCUGGGGAGUACGCCGGCAACGGUGAAACUCAAAGGAAUUGACGGGG
RNAcentral lists this ribosomal RNA (391 nucleotides) under uncultured bacterium. RNAcentral describes it as "partial 16S ribosomal RNA". It matches the Rfam family "Bacterial small subunit ribosomal RNA", at positions 523 to 918 of the family's 1533-position model. The record is from RNAcentral.